This 238-nucleotide ribosomal RNA is filed under the name uncultured bacterium. RNAcentral's name for it is "partial 16S ribosomal RNA". It matches the Rfam family "Bacterial small subunit ribosomal RNA", at positions 15 to 235 of the family's 1533-position model. The record is from RNAcentral.
GAUCCUGGCUCAGGAUGAACGCUGGCGGCGUGCUUAACACAUGCAAGUCGAACGAAGCACCUUGAUUUGAUUCUUCGGAUGAAGAUCUUGGUGACUGAGUGGCGGACGGGUGAGUAACGCGUGGGUAACCUGCCUCAUACAGGGGGAUAACAGUUAGAAAUGACUGCUAAUACCGCAUAAGACCACAGCACCACAUGGUGCAGGGGUAAAAACUCCGGUGGUAUGAGAUGGACCCGCG